RNAcentral lists this transfer RNA (71 nucleotides) under Ictidomys tridecemlineatus (thirteen-lined ground squirrel). Its description in RNAcentral is "Spermophilus tridecemlineatus (thirteen-lined ground squirrel) tRNA". It matches the Rfam family "tRNA". Rfam says of the family: Transfer RNA (tRNA) molecules are approximately 80 nucleotides in length. Lineage: Eukaryota; Metazoa; Chordata; Mammalia; Rodentia; Sciuridae. The record is from Rfam by way of RNAcentral.
UGGAUUGUGGCUCAGCGGUAGAGCGCUCGCCUAGCAUGCGCAAGACCUGGGUUCGAUCCUCAGCACCACAU